AGUGUGCCUCGGCCCCUUGUUCAUGGCCCUCGGCAGCAGAUGCCUUUCCUUUCUCUCAUGCGCACAGGCCAGGCCAGCCCAGCCCACCAAGCCCCCUCCCGAGCCCCCUCUUGGAGGAGCCUCCUCUACACGUAGGGCUCUCCCUGGGGGUCUUCCUUUGAGUGUGGGGUUUAUGUGCACUGAUUUCUAAGAUCAAAAGGCUAAGACCUUGCCAUCCAUUCAUUCAUUCAGCAAGGGGGGCGGGGGUGCUGGGAGGAAGCAGGAGGACAGAAGUUUUAAGCAGUCACAAAAUAUAAUGAAUGAAAACAAAACCAAAAAGAGGACUAAGGGAAGGGAGGUGGAAAAAUACCAAACCCCUGUUCUACCCUCUUCUGAGACCCUUCGCUGGCAGGUGCCCUUGUAAACAGUGAAACAGCCGUCCCAGGGCCUGCGAGGUAGUGCCACUGUCUUAAUCGGUCCGCAGGUUACUUCUCAGAGGGUGUUUCCAUGGAUUCUACUGGGUCCUCACCUGUUUCUGGGCAACCUCACCCCAGCUUCCUGCCUUGUGAUAAAGAUCUUUUUAUUUCUUUAUUUUGAGCAGUCACUUUCCCCUAAAAGAUUAAUAUGUUGUUCUCACCAAGAGGCCCAGCUCUAGCUAUAUACUACCUGUUUGUAGUGGUUGAAAGUUUAAUAUCUCUUUAGCAUCCCUUACAAAAUAUUUUGGGAGGUUUAGUUUAAAUUCAGGCACAGCCUGUGGAAGGCUCAGACGCAAGGCUAGGGCGCCAUCUCCUGGUCGAUUUUGAAUAUGACAAAAUUGAACUUGGAUUGAGACUCGUGUUAAUAGAGGUGAAAAUCAGCUGAUUUAAGUUAUAGGUGGAAAGGCGUGCGCAGAAACACAUGUAACUAAUAAAGCACUUUGUCAGAAUCUAUAAAGAACUCUUACAAUUUAAUAUAAAAAAUCUUAGCGAUUGGGCUGUUAAAAAAUCAGUAGAAAAAUAAGCAAGAGGCUUAAAGGGGCAAUUUCUAAAAGAGGAUAUCAAAUGCACCAUAAAUAUAUGAAAGAUGUUCAACUUUUUAUUCUUCGAGACUACUGGUGGAGGACAAGGCGGAGGAAAGCCCAGGAAGCCUGUAUACGCUGUAAAGACCCUUUCAGGUAAUUCAGAUUUUACCCACUAGAGGGCGUGCCACUCACUUUAGUUGUUUUAAAUUUGCCCAAGGGAAAUAUGCAAAAUAAAACCGCAAUGAGAUGCACUGCACUGCAGCCUGCCAAGUUGGCAAAAAUGGGGGCAGCGGGUACUCUCAUACACUGCUGGAGAAAGUGCAAAUUGCUAUACCUUUGAAAAAUUGUUUGGCAUUAUCUAGAAAACAGUUAACGCAUAGGCGUAUUCUAUGUCAUAGCAACUUCACUUCUUGAUAUAUGUUCAACAAAAAUGUGAGUCCAUGGACACUAAGAAGCAUACAAGAUUGCUUAUAACAGCAUUAUUGGCAGGUAAUAGCAAGAACUGGAAACAAUUCAAAUGCCCACGAAGAAUAGGCUGGAAAAAUAAAUGGUAGUAUAUUGAUGCAGUGGAAUAUCUAACGGAAAAACAGACAAGCCAACAGAAUCUGCAGCUACAAACGGCAACAAUAUGGAUGGAUGGAUUUUAUGAACAUAAUGUUGAGCAAACGAAGCCAGGUAUAAAAUAAUCAUAAUCAUAUAUAAAGGUCAAAACAGAAAAAACAUUUUAUAGUGCUAGAUGUCAGGAUAAUGGUACAUUUAGUCCUAGAGAAUGAAGGCAGAGAUUGGGAAUAUAUUUAAAAUAAAUUUUAAAAAUAAAUUUAACACUUCAAUUAUAAAGUUUAAAAAAGUUACAGAUGGAAUGGUAGAAAGGGAUUUCCAACCAGUAGAAUUAGGCAAGAGUGAGGGAAGAAAUCGAAAACUUGGGAAAGAAGAAAAGCAGGUGUAGGGUGCAAAAAACGAAACCAAAAAAACAAACCCCAAAACACCUCCAGGUAAUUCGGAUUCUCCCCACUAGAGGGCGUGCCUCCCUCUCCUCGCCCUGAGUGUUCUUGCCGUACGCAAACAUUUGCUUCGAUGUUGUUUUUUCCCUCCCUUGAAUUAUUAGAGACACAGACUCACUCUGUCACCCAGGCUGGAGUGCAGUGGUGCAGUUAUAGCUCACUAUAGCCUCGACCUCCUGGACUCAAGUGAUCCUCCCACCUCAGUCUCCCGAGUAGUCAGGACUACAGGUAUGGCAGGCUAAGUUUUAAAAAUUUUGUAGAGAUGGGAUCUCACUAUGUUGCCUAGGCUGGUCUCCAAAUCCUGGCCUCAAGCAGUCCUCCCUCCAUGGCCUCCUAAAGUGCUCGGAGUAGAAUUGAGAGCCACCGUACCUGGCUGCUCCAAAAUGCUUUUUUAUGCCUCCCCUACUUAGUGUUUUACACUGUUCCACAGAAUAUCGGAAUCUAGAAUUUGUUCCAGCAUAAAGUGAAAGAUAUGAAUCAACUUUCAUUUUUCCUCAUCAAUUCAUCCAUAUUUUUAGCAGAAUUUAUUAAAUAUGAUUCCUCUUUGGUUUUGCUGUCUUCUGUUCAUUGAAUAGAAUUUUUUCUAUAAUUUGGGAAUUUCUGGCAUAUUUAUUG
This 2595-nucleotide long non-coding RNA is filed under the name Homo sapiens (human). RNAcentral's name for it is "HSALNT0381092". Lineage: Eukaryota; Metazoa; Chordata; Mammalia; Primates; Hominidae. The record is from RNAcentral.